This 98-nucleotide signal recognition particle RNA is filed under the name bacterium. RNAcentral's name for it is "signal recognition particle sRNA small type". It matches the Rfam family "Bacterial small signal recognition particle RNA". Rfam says of the family: The signal recognition particle (SRP) is a universally conserved ribonucleoprotein involved in the co-translational targeting of proteins to membranes. Archaeal SRP consists of a 7S RNA and homologues of the eukaryotic SRP19 and SRP54 proteins. The record is from RNAcentral. RNAcentral also lists the same sequence under 1 other name.
GGCCCGGUCCCCUGCAAUGGAGCGCGUUCGAACCGGGUCAGGCCGGGAACGGAGCAGCCCUAAGGACUGCGUUUCAGGUGCGGGGUGCCCGGGUCCUC